GCCGCUGUUGACCGCAACGUUCUACCCUCGUCCCUCCUAGCCACCGACAAGCGUUCCUCUUCCCACAAGCAUGGCCGCCGUUGUCGGAGUUUGAAGUUGAUCGGAGUGUAGAACCAUCGCUUGACGGAGUUUUGACCGUUCCGCAGACCGACGCAUUCUUCGGAGCACAUUCCGCUGCCAUUUCGACCUUUGGAAGCAACGACCAUCGAAAGUGCCACCUUUCCGCCGUUGGACCAUUUUUUUUGGGCAAUCGUUUGUUGUUAUUCGGUGGAUUUUGAGUUGUUUUAUAAUUUCUUUUACCAUUUAGAGGUUUUGUUGUUUUAUGGGUUGUUUAACCUUAUUUGGUGUAGUGUAAUGGAGGAACUUGAUCAACAGAGUGAAGUUUCUCAUAGCAGGAAGAAGGGCAUAAUUCAAUUAAAAGAGGAGUAAGGCCAGGUUAUUGUUGAUGUUGGGGUGUUGAAAGAAGAGCUUUGUUAUGGUAUGGUCAAAGAAGUUGUUCGGAAAUUUGGUGUGCCAUUUAAUAAGCAAAAUAGAGGAGAUAAGGAG
This is a long non-coding RNA of Vigna umbellata (rice bean), 546 nucleotides long. RefSeq lists it as uncharacterized. The record is from RefSeq and is a predicted model, not a curated record. NCBI's taxonomy places the organism in Eukaryota, Viridiplantae, Streptophyta, Magnoliopsida, Fabales, Fabaceae.